GACGGGUGAGUAACGCGUGGGAACGUGCCCUUUGGUACGGAACAACUGAGGGAAACUUCAGCUAAUACCGUAUGUGCCCUUCGGGGGAAAGAUUUAUCGCCAUUGGAGCGGCCCGCGUUGGAUUAGGUAGUUGGUGAGGUAAA
RNAcentral lists this ribosomal RNA (143 nucleotides) under Aeromonas salmonicida subsp. salmonicida 01-B526. Its description in RNAcentral is "partial 16S ribosomal RNA". It matches the Rfam family "Bacterial small subunit ribosomal RNA", at positions 102 to 261 of the family's 1533-position model. Lineage: Bacteria; Pseudomonadati; Pseudomonadota; Gammaproteobacteria; Aeromonadales; Aeromonadaceae. The record is from RNAcentral.